Small nuclear RNA from Tupaia belangeri (northern tree shrew), 100 nucleotides. The record is from Ensembl. Lineage: Eukaryota; Metazoa; Chordata; Mammalia; Scandentia; Tupaiidae.
GUGCUUACUUUAGCAGCACAUAUACUAAAGUUGGAAUGAUACAGAGAAGACUAACAUGCACAAGGAUGUCACACAAAUUCGUGAAGCAUCCCAUACUAAA